CCACAGAGCCUAAAUACCUUCAGAGCACCAGAUCCAGUCUGAUCUUGGAAGCUAAGCAGGGUCACUCUUGAUUAGUACUUGAGUAUGAGAGUGCCAAAGAAUAUCAAAUACUUUCGGAG
This 119-nucleotide ribosomal RNA is filed under the name Anolis carolinensis (green anole). Lineage: Eukaryota; Metazoa; Chordata; Lepidosauria; Squamata; Anolidae. The record is from RNAcentral.